UACGGGGGGGGCAAGCGUUGUUCGGAAUUACUGGGCGUAAAGGGCUCGUAGGCGGCCAACUAAGUCAGACGUGAAAUCCCUCGGCUUAACCGGGGAACUGCAUCUGAUACUGGAUGGCUUGAGUUCGGGAGAGGGAUGCGGAAUUCCAGGUGUAGCGGUGAAAUGCUUAGAUAUCUGGAGGAACACCGGUGGCGAAGGCGGCAUCCUGGACCGACACUGACGCUGAGGAGCGAAAGCCAGGGGAGCAAACGGG
RNAcentral lists this ribosomal RNA (253 nucleotides) under uncultured bacterium. RNAcentral's name for it is "partial 16S ribosomal RNA". It matches the Rfam family "Bacterial small subunit ribosomal RNA", at positions 524 to 776 of the family's 1533-position model. The record is from RNAcentral.